AGUGAACGCUGGCGGUAGGCCUAACACAUGCAAGUCGAACGGCAGCACAGUAAGAGCUUGCUCUUACGGGUGGCGAGUGGCGGACGGGUGAGGAAUACAUCGGAAUCUACUUUUUCGUGGGGGAUAACGUAGGGAAACUUACGCUAAUACCGCAUACGACCUACGGGUGAAAGCAGGGGAUCUUCGGACUUUGCGCUAUUGAUUGAGCCGAUGUCGGAUUAGCUAGUUGGCGGGGUAAAGGCCCACCAAGGCUACGAUCCGUAGCUGGUCUGAGAGGAUGAUCAGCCAAACUGGAACUGAGACACGGUCCAGACUCCUACGGGAGGCAGCAGUGGGGAAUAUUGGACAAUGGGCGCAAGCCUGAUCCAGCCAUACCGCGUGGGUGAAGAAGGCCUUCGGGUUGUAAAGCCCUUUUGUUGGGAAAGAAAAGCAGCAGGUUAAUACCCCGCUGUUCUGACGGUACCCAAAGAAUAAGCACCGGCUAACUUCGUG
RNAcentral lists this ribosomal RNA (492 nucleotides) under uncultured bacterium. RNAcentral's name for it is "partial 16S ribosomal RNA". It matches the Rfam family "Bacterial small subunit ribosomal RNA", at positions 29 to 507 of the family's 1533-position model. The record is from RNAcentral.